CCCUCAUUUUAGCUCUUUCUUCCUCCCUUCUUUUCUUUUUCUUUUUCUUCUAGCAACUGAGCAAUCUAGAACUCAGAGAUGUAAAAUAAUGUUCCUAGCAUCACACAGUGCAGGUGAGAACCCAGCAAAGGAAGGCAGAGACGCCUGCUUCUCUGCCACCUGGUAUCAUGCCUCCUCAAUUAUCUUAGCACUCUGCACACAUGCAGUCCUAAGUUUGCCUGUGACAGACAUUUAUGACUUGCAAUGGAAAGCUCGGCUCACAGUUUCACACUUCGCAGAGAAACAAUCACGCAGAGCAGUCACCAGGAAAGAAGGGUUUAACACCAAGGGAAGAAAGGAAAGGAGGAACAAGAAGAGUCUUUCAAAUGAUAAUGAGGGCAAUUACCACAGACUGUUUUAGAUGGAGGGGUGAUGCAAGACAUAAUUUGAGCUUGCAAGGAAAUAAGUUAUUGCAAAAGUAAACAAACUGUACAAAGAAGGGUUUAAGAGAUAAACUCCAGGGACUUCCACUUCUGGCCAAGAUGGAGUAACAAGGAACCAAUUCACCCUCCUGAAACAACCAACUAACAAACAAAAACAGAAAAAUAUAUGAAAUCACUAUUUUCAAGACAGUAGAUAUCAGAAAACAAAAGUCAAUGAUCUCUGAAAGAUGGAAAGCAGACAAAGUAAACCCUACAAUUGCUCCAGGUCACAGCUUAAAAGAGAUUCAAGGUCACGGGUCAAGAAAAGGGAACCCAGGCAGAGCCUCACAGAGUAACUACCCUGAGUUUAAGAGACAGAGCUGAACAUCCUGUAAGACCAAAGUAAAUAGACUCUGUAAGGCAGAGAAAGCUGCUCAGAGAGAGAAAUCUGCAGAUCUGCAGAGUCCACCUCAAGAAUUCAGCAGAGUCCACAUCAGCACAUGCUUAUAAGGAAACUUCUCGAAAGUAGGUUAUGCCUUUCCCUGGACAGCUGAUAUGGUGACUGAUGUGAACGAAGCAGGCAGGCAUCCAAAGGAGCAGCUGUUUUCUCCUAACCUGGUGCAACUCUGAUGGGCAGUAUUCACUGCAGAGCUCCCUGCCAGCUUGGCUGUAGCACACUGUUGGGACCAUUACAAAUGUUUACUUCCUCUCUGCUCAAUCCUGCCUCCACCCCCUUCCUUUCACAAGUAUUGAUCCCUAAUAAACAUAUGCACAUCAAACCUUGUCAUCUCAGCCUAUGCCUCCAGAGAUUGCAGCCUGCGACAGGUGAUGAUUCCAGAUGACAGCAAGUUUAAAUCUGGUCUUUGGAAAACUGUGUGGUGUAAUUUAUUGGAAAGAAUUAACUUUGAAAAAAAAAAGGUUGUGUGUAUGACUGUGUGGGGUGGACAUACAGUCUGAUUAUGUUAUGUUUGAAAUGCCUAUCAAAUAUCUGAAUAGGGGUGUAAAGAUACUUAGCUAUGUGAUUCUGGACCUCAAGGGAGAAAUCAAAGCCAGAGAUAAAAAUAUGAAUAUCGCCAGCAUGCAGACAGAAUUUAAAGCCAUGGAACUCCAUGGAAAGAGUCUCCCAAACUGCUUGAAAACACACUAGAGAUCCCACAGGCA
Molecule: long non-coding RNA, 1562 nt
Filed under: Canis lupus familiaris (dog)
Lineage: Eukaryota; Metazoa; Chordata; Mammalia; Carnivora; Canidae
Description: lncRNA (ENSCAFG00000059073.1)
Source: RNAcentral